GCCUCCGUGGUCCAGUGGUUGAGCGUUGAGCUCGCGAUCCGAAGGUCCCGGGUUCGAAUCCCGGUGGGGACA
Non-coding RNA from Pectinophora gossypiella (pink bollworm), 72 nucleotides. Lineage: Eukaryota; Metazoa; Arthropoda; Insecta; Lepidoptera; Gelechiidae. The record is from the annotation of a RefSeq genome assembly.